RNAcentral lists this ribosomal RNA (487 nucleotides) under uncultured bacterium. RNAcentral describes it as "partial 16S ribosomal RNA". It matches the Rfam family "Bacterial small subunit ribosomal RNA", at positions 30 to 523 of the family's 1533-position model. The record is from RNAcentral.
AUUGAACGCUGGCGGCAGGCUUAACACAUGCAAGUCGAGCGGGGACUUCGGUCCUAGCGGCGAACGGGUGAGGAAUGCUUGGGAAUCUGCCUUGUAGUGGGGGAUGACGUUUCGAAAGGAACGCUAAUACCGCAUACGUCCUACGGGAGAAAGGGGGGGAUCUUCGGACCUCUCGCUAUAAGAUGGGCCCAAGUCGGAUUAGCUAGUUGGUGGGGUAAAGGCUCACCAAGGCGACGAUCCGUAGCUGGUCUGAGAGGAUGAUCAGCCACACUGGAACGGAGACACGGUCCGGACUCCUACGGGAGGCAGCAGUGGGGAAUAUUGGACAAUGGGCGAAAGCCUGAUCCAGCCAUGCCGCGUGUGUGAAGAAGGCCUUCGGGUUGUAAGCACUUUAAGCGAGGGGGAAUGGCUCUGGGUUAAUACCCUUGAGCAGUGACGUUACUCGCAGAAUAAGCACCGGCUAACUCUGUGCCAGCCGCCGCCGUAA